Felis catus (domestic cat) is the source of this 824-nucleotide long non-coding RNA. RefSeq lists it as uncharacterized. The record is from RefSeq and is a predicted model, not a curated record. The transcript has 2 exons. Lineage: Eukaryota; Metazoa; Chordata; Mammalia; Carnivora; Felidae.
GCAAGACCCAUGAACAUGCUAUGUGAGUGGCUGAAGUAUGGGAAACUCUGAGGAGUUAAUACAGGAGCACUGAGGGUCAUUUCCUCCUUUUUUGGGGGGGACUGGAAGGGAAAGAGACUAGGAAAGGAAGGGAGGAAUGAGGGGGGAACAAACCUACUUACUUAUCUACGUACUUAUAAUUCUACUUCAGCCCUACUCUCCUGGUUCCAAGUUUGCCUUUAUGUACAGUUGUUUCCCUUACCUGUGUUUCCUCCAAGAUCUAGCUCUUAGCUCUCCCACCUGGACAUUUUUUUUUCUUAAGCCCUCAGAUAUCUUCAGGUAUCCAAAGCUCUAACCACCUCUACUUAGUACUCAUGUCUGACACACUCCAAAAUGUCUCCCAGAGCUUUUCGAGAGAUAAACUUUGUAACAGACAUGACAGAAACAGAGAUAGAGAGACAGAGAGAGAGGGAGAAGAGUUAUUUAUGGAGGAGAGAACACAACCUAGGAGGGGAAGGUUGUGGGGACAGUAGAGUCCAGUCAGGACUUUUGAGUCUUUGAGAUGGUACUGAGUUGUCUUCCGGUUUCUUAAACGGGCAUUUUUCUUUUCCUCUCUCUCAAGAAAGUGGAAAUCCAGAAAGAGGAAGUGACUUGCCCAAGAAAACAGGUCAAAGACCCAGUAGUUCCAUGAUGCAAAUGAAUGGGCACUGGUGGAAGAAUCAGCCGCCUGGAGGAGAUCUCUCAUCACAUGAAGCCAGUGGGGAGAAGAGGGCUCAAACGUCACAGACCCUACUGUUCCUACUGAAAUUCAGUAGAUUUUUGUAAAUAAAUGUUUUUCAAUUUUC